RNAcentral lists this ribosomal RNA (389 nucleotides) under Anaplasma phagocytophilum. RNAcentral's name for it is "bacterial SSU rRNA". It matches the Rfam family "Bacterial small subunit ribosomal RNA", at positions 97 to 521 of the family's 1533-position model. Lineage: Bacteria; Pseudomonadati; Pseudomonadota; Alphaproteobacteria; Rickettsiales; Anaplasmataceae. The record is from RNAcentral.
GGCAGACGGGUGAGUAAUGCAUAGGAAUCUACCUAGUAGUAUGGGAUAGCCACUAGAAAUGGUGGGUAAUACUGUAUAAUCCCUGCGGGGGAAAGAUUUAUCGCUAUUAGAUGAGCCUAUGUUAGAUUAGCUAGUUGGUAGGGUAAAGGCCUACCAAGGCAGUGAUCUAUAGCUGGUCUGAGAGGAUGAUCAGCCACACUGGAACUGAGAUACGGUCCAGACUCCUACGGGAGGCAGCAGUGGGGAAUAUUGGACAAUGGGCGCAAGCCUGAUCCAGCUAUGCCGCGUGAGUGAGGAAGGCCUUAGGGUUGUAAAACUCUUUCAGUAGGGAAGAUAAUGACGGUACCUACAGAAGAGGUCCCGGCAAACUCCGUGCCAGCAGCCGCGGU